CACCCGAGACUCAGUGAAAUUGAACUCGCUGUGAAGAUGCAGUGUACCCGCGGCAAGACGGAAAGACCCCGUGAACCUUUACUAUAGCUUGACACUGAACAUUGAGCCUUGAUGUGUAGGAUAGGUGGGAGGCUUUGAAGUGUGGACGCCAGUCUGCAUGGAGCCGACCUUGAAAUACCACCCUUUAAUGUUUGAUGUUCUAACGUUGACCCGUAAUCCGGGUUGCGGACAGUGUCUGGUGGGUAGUUUGACUGGGGCGGUCUCCUCCUAAAGAGUAACGGAGGAGCACGAAGGUUGGCUAAUCCUGGUCGGACAUCAGGAGGUUAGUGCAAUGGCAUAAGCCAGCUUGACUGCGAGCGUGACGGCGCGAGCAGGUGCGAAAGCAGGUCAUAGUGAUCCGGUGGUUCUGAAUGGAAGGGCCAUCGCUCAACGGAUAAAAGGUACUCCGGGGAUAACAGGCUGAUACCGCCCAAGAGUUCAUAUCGACGGCGGUGUUUGGCACCUCGAUGUCGGCUCAUCACAUCCUGGGGCUGAAGUAGGUCCCAAGGGUAUGGCUGUUCGCCAUUUAAAGUGGUACGCGAGCUGGGUUUAGAACGUCGUGAGACAGUUCGGUCCCUAUCUGCCGUGGGCGCUGGAGAACUGAGGGGGGCUGCUCCUAGUACGAGAGGACCGGAGUGGACGCAUCACUGGUGUUCGGGUUGUCAUGCCAAUGGCACUGCCCGGUAGCUAAAUGCGGAAGAGAUAAGUGCUGAAAGCAUCUAAGCACGAAACUUGCCCCGAGAUGAGUUCUCCCUGACUCCUUGAGAGUCCUGAAGGAACGUU
RNAcentral lists this ribosomal RNA (822 nucleotides) under Shigella dysenteriae. Its description in RNAcentral is "partial 23S ribosomal RNA". It matches the Rfam family "Bacterial large subunit ribosomal RNA", at positions 2023 to 2839 of the family's 2925-position model. The record is from RNAcentral. Lineage: Bacteria; Pseudomonadati; Pseudomonadota; Gammaproteobacteria; Enterobacterales; Enterobacteriaceae.